RNAcentral lists this ribosomal RNA (2477 nucleotides) under Triticum aestivum (bread wheat). Its description in RNAcentral is "partial small subunit ribosomal RNA". Lineage: Eukaryota; Viridiplantae; Streptophyta; Magnoliopsida; Poales; Poaceae. The record is from RNAcentral.
AUGGCAGGAGCAUCGACAGUCAUGGUAAUCUUCAUAGCAAGCAUCUUCUUCCCAGCAGUGGGAACACUUGCCCGAGCCUCUUCUGGACACUCCAUGUCGUCACCAGCUUGCCCUGACAAGUGUGGCGACGUAUCCAUCCCAUACCCCUUUGGGAUUGGCGCGCACUGUGCUGCAAUCAGCCUCAACAGCUACUUCAACCUCAGACUGCGACAGCAUGGUCGAUCCACCAAGGCCAACUGUUGGUGAUCCGAAUGUAGCAGCUGAGAUCGCCGACAUCUCACUGAAGAAUGGCGAGAUGCACCUAUACAGCCCCGUCAACCAGAUCUACUUCACGUCGAACACCACAUUCACCAAGUUCACCACAGGGUACGAUCUGAAGCACACACCCUUCCUCCCGUCACCGUCACGCAACCGUUUCACAGUCAUUGGCUGCAACACCCUUGGGCUCAUCACCGGCUACAAAGAAACCGCAGGCCAGUAUGUGACUGGUUGCUACUCGAACUGCGAGGGCAUCAACAACACGUCUGAGGGCGCGCCAUGCAAUGGGAUGGGCUGCUGUGAGGUUGCCACCCCCACCAACCUCACCUCCUUGGAGAUCAAAUUUGAGAUGACACAGAGCAGGGUAUGGAGCUUCAACCCAUGUUUCUAUGCCAUGGUGGCUGAGGUUGGGUGGUACACCUUCAGGCAGCAGGACCUUGCCGGCACUCUUGGGUUCAUUGAUGGUCGAGCUAAGAGAGGUGCUGCCGUUGUUGUCGACUGGGCCAUUAGGAAUGGCUCAUGCCCGGAGAAGGGGAAAGACACACCUACUGACUAUGCUUGCAUCAGUACAAACAGCUAUUGCAUGGCCGCGAACAAUGGUCCAGGAUACUUAUGCCAAUGCUCCGGAGGAUAUGAGGGCAAUCCUUAUCUUCUGACUGGCUGUCAAGGUUAAGUAUUUACUUUAGUUUAACUUCUCUAGAUUUCCAUGGAUAUUACACUGAAAACAGAUGGAACUAUAAACAAUACGCAGUGUUAGUUAAACCCAGAUACACUUUCACAAAACAUCUAUAUGAAGACUUUCCAAUAUAUGGGUUGCGAUUUUACCUCAUGUAGCUUUGAUUUACACCACACCAUCACAGAGAAACAUAGACGAGUGCACAUUGCGUAAGCAGGACCCCAAGUAUGAAGAUUUGUAUCCAUGCAGACAAGGGGUCUGUAACAACACACCCGGGAACUACUCUUGCAUAUGCAAGAGAGGAACACGACCUGAUGGUACAAAAUUUGGAUGCCGACCUCUGUUGUCUUCAGAUCAAAAAUUGGUCAUUGGGCUCAGUAUUUCUGCAACUUCGGUGAUGGCCUUAGCAUGCUUGCUACUCAUGCAAUUUCAAAUAAAAAGGCACAAGAGGGAGAAAGAUGAGUAUUUCAGACAAAAUGGAGGUCUCAAGUUAUAUGACGAGAUGAGGUCAAAGCAGGUUGACACAAUCCGCAUACUUACGGAGAAAGAGAUAAAGAGAGCCACUGACAACUACAAUGAAGGUCGAGUUAUUGGAUGUGGUGGUCAUGGUAUGGUCUACAGAGGAACUUUGGAUGAUCAAAAAGAGGUCGCCAUAAAGAAGUCCAAAGCAAUCAAUGCUGAUUGGAGAGAAGAAUUUGUCAAUGAGAUUAUAAUCUUAUCACAAAUCAAUCACCGAAACAUUGUGAGGUUACUAGGCUGUUGUCUGGAUGUGGAUGUCCCAAUGUUGGUCUACGAGUUUGUCUCCCAUGGUACUCUAUCCCAGUUCCUUCACGGUGCUGAUCGUAGAUUGCCAAUUCCCCUUGCUAUUCGCCUGAAGAUUGCUACACAGUCAGCAGAAGCUCUAGCUUACUUACAUUCAUCCACAUCUCGCACAAUCCUACAUGGCGAUGUCAAGUCUGCCAACAUUCUCUUGGAUGACAAGCUCAAUGCAAAGGUUGCUGAUUUCGGAGCAUCAGCACUUAAGUCCAUGGAUGAAAGUGAGUUCAUCAUGUUUGUCCAUGGAACAUUGGGAUACCUUGACCCUGAGAGCUUUAUCAGCCAUCUUCUCACUGAGAAAAGCGAUGUAUACAGUUUCGGGGUUGUUCUUCUCGAGCUAAUGACACGAAAGAGGGCUAUAUAUACCGACAACUUUAAUGGAAAGCACUCACUGUCAUAUAGUUUUCCCUUGAUGUUUCAUCGGAAGACGCACCACGUUAUGCUGGACUCUGAAAUUACAGAUGACGCGGGUAUGGUGGUCCUUGAGAACAUGGCUGAACUCGCAGUUCACUGCCUUAGCCAGAGGGGAGAUGACAGGCCAACAAUGAAGGAAGUUGCAGAGAGACUAGAUAUGAUGAGGAGACUCUAUUCGCACGCCACCAGUGCUUGUGAACAUAACUGCUUUGCACGUAGUUAUGGAGCAUCAUCUUCAGUGGCUAUCCCUUUGGGCGAGACAACACAUGGGACCAUCGAUAUGUCUGAGCUGGUUGAAGAUCUUGCAAGAUGA